CCUACGGGAGGCAGCAGUGAGGAAUAUUGGUCAAUGGGCGCGAGCCUGAACCAGCCAAGUAGCGUGAAGGAUGACUGCCCUACGGGUUGUAAACUUCUUUUAUAAAGGAAUAAAGUGAGGCACGUGUGCCUUUUUGUAUGUACUUUAUGAAUAAGGAUCGGGUAACCCCGUUCCAGCAGCCGCGGUAAUACGGAGGAUCCGAGCGUUACCCGGAUUUAUUGGGUUGAAAGGGAGCGUAGAUGGGUUGUUAAGUCAGUUGUGAAAGUUUGCGGCUCAACCGUAAGAUUGCAAUUGAUACUGGCAGCCUUGAGUACAGUUGAGGUAGGCGGAAUUCGUGGUGUAGCGGUGAAAUGCUUAGAUAUAACGAAGAACUCCGAUUGCGAAGGCAGCCUACUAAACUGCCACUGACAUUGAUGCUCGAAAGUGUGGGUAUCAAACAGGAUUAGAUACCCGAGUAGUC
This 460-nucleotide ribosomal RNA is filed under the name uncultured bacterium. Its description in RNAcentral is "partial 16S ribosomal RNA". It matches the Rfam family "Bacterial small subunit ribosomal RNA", at positions 338 to 795 of the family's 1533-position model. The record is from RNAcentral.